UACUUCUUAUUUGUUCAUGUUUUUCAUCCAGAUGUACUUAUUAUUUGUUCAUGUUUUUCAUGCAGAAACUUUUCAAAACAUGAUCAUGAACACAUCUGGAUGAUCUUGCAAUUAUUUCUCGAGAGAUUCAAGUGGUGCUAGCUAACUAAGGCCGAUCGAGUUGAUUGCAAAGAUUCAUUCAAAAACAGGUUUCGGGUGGAGGAAAGUGGUAACGAAUCCGGUCAGAAAUUUUCGGAUUUUGGAGUGAUUUCGGGUUUCGGGUGGGAUUAAUCCAAAAAUGGGCUUUGGACCGAAAAUGAGCCUUGGUUUGGAUCAGAUUUCACCCGAAUUCGACAAAGCUUUGCAAAAAAAUCGGAUUUUCGGGUUGCGGAUUAUGAUAGCGAGAGCUGUGAGCUGUGAGAGAGAGAUAUGAUGUUUAAUGGAAGCUAGUAUGGGUCAUUUGAUCGACUAAAAGAGUGGCAUCAAGUGUCAACGAAUUUCUGCCAACCAGAAAGGAAAUAUUAAAAACAGCUUUUUAUUAUUAAUUUACUUCCACUUUUAUUUACUUUGGCUUGUCAUGUAAGUUUCAUAUUUCCUCAUUUUAUUUUAAUUUUUAUAUAAUUUACUUA
Molecule: long non-coding RNA, 608 nt
Organism: Humulus lupulus (European hop)
Lineage: Eukaryota; Viridiplantae; Streptophyta; Magnoliopsida; Rosales; Cannabaceae
Exons: 5
Source: RefSeq, a predicted model, not a curated record